UAGCUCAGUCAGUCGAGCAUGGCGCUGACAACGCCAAGGUCAUGGGUUCGAUUCCCGU
RNAcentral lists this transfer RNA (58 nucleotides) under Apaloderma vittatum (bar-tailed trogon). It matches the Rfam family "tRNA", at positions 8 to 63 of the family's 71-position model. Rfam says of the family: Transfer RNA (tRNA) molecules are approximately 80 nucleotides in length. Their secondary structure includes four short double-helical elements and three loops (D, anti-codon, and T loops). Lineage: Eukaryota; Metazoa; Chordata; Aves; Trogoniformes; Trogonidae. The record is from Rfam by way of RNAcentral.